UACGUAGGGUGCAGGCGUUAAUCGGAAUUACUGGGCGUAAAGCGUGCGCAGGCGGUUUCUUAAGUCAGAUGUGAAAGCCCCGGGCUUAACCUAGGAACUGCGUUUGAAACUGGGAGACUUGAGUGUGGCAGAGGGGGGUGGAAUUCCACGUGUAGCAGUGAAAUGCGUAGAUAUGUGGAGGAACACCGAUGGCGAAGGCAGCCCCCUGGGUUAACACUGACGCUCAUGCACGAAAGCGUGGGGAGCAAACAGG
This 253-nucleotide ribosomal RNA is filed under the name uncultured bacterium. Its description in RNAcentral is "partial 16S ribosomal RNA". It matches the Rfam family "Bacterial small subunit ribosomal RNA", at positions 524 to 776 of the family's 1533-position model. The record is from RNAcentral.